Leptobrachium leishanense (Leishan spiny toad) is the source of this 80-nucleotide small nucleolar RNA. Lineage: Eukaryota; Metazoa; Chordata; Amphibia; Anura; Megophryidae. The record is from Ensembl.
AGUGCUACGACACACGUUCGACGGAGCUGCAAAGCGUGAUCCUCCAUUGGGGAAUCAAACCUUGCAGAGCUGAGCGCACU